RNAcentral lists this ribosomal RNA (484 nucleotides) under uncultured bacterium. RNAcentral describes it as "partial 16S ribosomal RNA". It matches the Rfam family "Bacterial small subunit ribosomal RNA", at positions 30 to 507 of the family's 1533-position model. The record is from RNAcentral.
AUUGAACGCUGGCGGCAGGCCUAACACAUGCAAGUCGAGCGGAUGAAGGGAGCUUGCUCCUGGAUUCAGCGGCGGACGGGUGAGUAAUGCCUAUGAAUCUGCCUGGUAGUGGGGGAUAACGUCCGGAAACGGGCGCUAAUACCGCAUACGUCCUGAGGGAGAAAGUGGGGGAUCUUCGGACCUCACGCUAUCAGAUGGGCCUAGGUCGGAUUAGCUAGUUGGUGGGGUAAAGGCCUACCAAGGCGACGAUCCGUAACUGGUCUGAGAGGAUGAUCAGUCACACUGGAACUGAGACACGGUACAGACUCCUAGGGGAGGAAGCGGUGGGGAAUAUUGGAGACUGGGCGAAGGCCUGAUCAAGCCAUGCCGGGUGUGUGAAGAAGGUCUUCGGAUUGUAAAGCACUUUAAGUUGGGAGGAAGGGCAGUAAGUUAAUCCCUUGCUGUUUUGACGUUACCAACAGAAUAAGCACCGGCUAACUUCGUG